Molecule: long non-coding RNA, 574 nt
Organism: Astyanax mexicanus (Mexican tetra)
Lineage: Eukaryota; Metazoa; Chordata; Actinopteri; Characiformes; Acestrorhamphidae
Exons: 4
Source: RefSeq, a predicted model, not a curated record
UCAGUUUCGAGUGCUUUUAGUUAAUUGGCUGGGUAAUCCUACCUGGGGCUAUAUUUAGGCCAGGUGGCUGCUACCUGUGGCACCCCCUCUGUUGUUCUCACCCCCUUCCUUGGUGUGCUGCUUUGCGAGGGCUGCAGCUUGGUGUGGCUUGGUGUGGCUGGGAAUUCUCACAAGCGUGCGAGCUGAGACUUGUGAGGUGAGAUUGUUCCGGUGGUUUAUGCCAUGCUCAAAGGUUCCAGUCAGUGUGUGAAAUACACUGGAAGCAUUGUGACUUUCCCUGCUGUCUGACGUGGAGAAGUGAAGCCUUGGAGCAGUGAGCGGUGACAGGCUGCUGAGGUGGUAAAGUCUAACUGGGGUUUUCUAAGUGGUGUUUGUGUGCUGUGUAUUGGGGACUCCUCUCGCCUGCAGUCAGCACUGUUCAGUGUGCUCCAGCCCGGUUCAGGUUUUGUUUUUUGGUUGUUUGUGUGAUUGUGUUUUUUUUUAUUAUUAUUUCUUUUUUUGUUAAUUAAAUUUAUUUUGAAUUAUUGUGAUUUUUGUUAAAAUAUAAUUAUUAAAAUUUGAAUUUUAAAUAGAA